CCUACGGGAGGCAGCAGAGAGGAAUAUUGGUCAAUGGACGGAAGGCUGAACCAGCCAAGCCGCGUGAAGGACGAAGGUGCCAAGCAUUGUAAACUUCUUUUGUCAAGGGACAAAAUCAGGCUCGAGAGCCUGACCGAGGGUACUUGAAGAAAAAGCAUCGGCUAACUCCGUGCCAGCAGCCGCGGUAAUACGGAGGAUGCGAGCGUUAUCCGGAGAUAUUGGGUUUAAAGGGUGCGUGGGCGGGCUGUUAAGUCAGCGGUAAAAGCCCGGGGCUCAACCCCGGCGAGCCGUUGAAACUGGCUGUCUUGAGAUGUCGAGAGGUAUGCGGAAUGCGCAGUGUAGCGGUGAAAUGCGUAGAUAUUUCGCAGAACUCCGAUUGCGAAGGCAGCAUACCGGCGGCGAUCUGACGCUGAGGCACGAAAGCGUGGGUAUCGAACAGGAUUAGAUACCCCGGUAGUC
This 459-nucleotide ribosomal RNA is filed under the name uncultured bacterium. RNAcentral describes it as "partial 16S ribosomal RNA". It matches the Rfam family "Bacterial small subunit ribosomal RNA", at positions 338 to 795 of the family's 1533-position model. The record is from RNAcentral.